GGGGGUCUAGCUCAAAUGGGAGAGCGCUCGUUUAGCAUACGAGAGGCACGGGGAUCGAUACCCUGGUCCUCCA
This 73-nucleotide transfer RNA is filed under the name Tieghemiomyces parasiticus. It matches the Rfam family "tRNA". From Rfam's summary of the family: Transfer RNA (tRNA) molecules are approximately 80 nucleotides in length. Their secondary structure includes four short double-helical elements and three loops (D, anti-codon, and T loops). The record is from Rfam by way of RNAcentral. Lineage: Eukaryota; Fungi; Kickxellomycota; Dimargaritomycetes; Dimargaritales; Dimargaritaceae.